RNAcentral lists this ribosomal RNA (506 nucleotides) under uncultured bacterium. RNAcentral's name for it is "partial 16S ribosomal RNA". It matches the Rfam family "Bacterial small subunit ribosomal RNA", at positions 29 to 523 of the family's 1533-position model. The record is from RNAcentral.
AUUGAACGCUGGCGGCAGGCCUAACACAUGCAAGUCGGACGGUAGCACAGAGGAGCUUGCUCCUCGGGUGACGAGUGGCGGACGGGUGAGUAAUGUCUGGGGAUCUGCCCGAUAGAGGGGGAUAACCACUGGAAACGGUGGCUAAUACCGCAUAACGUCGCAAGACCAAAGAGGGGGACCUUCGGGCCUCUCACUAUCGGAUGAACCCAGAUGGGAUUAGCUAGUAGGCGGGGUAACGGCCCACCUAGGCGACGCUCCCUAGCUUGUCUGAGAGGAUGACCAGCCGCACUGGAACGGAGACACGGUCCAGACUCCUACGGGAGGCAGCAGUGGGGAAUAUUGCACAAUGGGCGCAAGCCUGAUGCAGCCAUGCCGCGUGUAUGAAGAAGGCCUUCGGGUUGUAAAGUACUUUCAGCGGGGAGGAAGGCGAUGUGGUUAAUAACCGCGUCGAUUGACGUUACCCGCAGAAGAAGCACCGGCUAACUCCGUGCCAGCAGCCGCGGUAA